GCGCGAAAAUUCUCCAAUGCACGCAAGUGUGAGAGAGGAAUCUUGAGUGCUUUUCUUAAACGAAAAGCUUUUGUGUACUGUAAAAAGGUACAAGAAUAAGGGCUGGGCAAGAUCGGUGCCAGCAGCCGCGGUAAUCCCGACGGCCCAAGUGGGACUCGCAAUUAUUGGGUCUAAAACAUUCGUAGCUGGUUUUAUAAGUUUCUUGUUAAAUUGUCUAGCUUAACUAGAUAGCUGCAAGAAAUACUAUAAAGCUAGGGACUGGGAGAUGUAACGAGUAUGUUUAGGGUAAUGGUAAAAUAUGUUAAUCCUAGAUAGACUAACAAUGGCGAAGGCACGUUACAAUAACAGAUCCGACAGUGAGGAAUGAAGGCCAGGGGCGCAAAUUGGAUUAGAUACCCAAGUAGUCCUGGCAGUAAACCCUGCAUACUAAACAUUGUGAUCUCCUCGAGAGAUUGCAGUGCUGAAGCGAAGGCGGAAGUAUGCUACCUGGGGAGUAUAGUCGCAAGAUCGAAACUUAAAGGAAUUGG
Molecule: ribosomal RNA, 527 nt
Filed under: uncultured euryarchaeote
Lineage: Archaea; Methanobacteriati; Methanobacteriota
Description: bacterial SSU rRNA
Rfam family: Archaeal small subunit ribosomal RNA
Source: RNAcentral